Phyllostomus discolor (pale spear-nosed bat) is the source of this 307-nucleotide long non-coding RNA. RefSeq lists it as uncharacterized. The transcript is spliced from 2 exons. The record is from RefSeq and is a predicted model, not a curated record. NCBI's taxonomy places the organism in Eukaryota, Metazoa, Chordata, Mammalia, Chiroptera, Phyllostomidae.
CAAUUAAAACAACAUAUCCUUGGUUAAGAAUUAAAAAAAAAAAACCACCUGGUAAGGCCAAAUAGAGUAACUUUAUUCUGUUUGCUAACUUCUGUUACCGGGGUGGUUCCCCAUCAGCACAAUUGAACUCUUUGUAGUACACGAUUUCUGAGUGAUCGCCAGUGUGAUGCAGACUUAAGCUAAACAUGAGAGGUAAAUUAUGCUGUUUUACUGGAUUUGUUUUUAAUAUCACAUGAUUUGUGAGUAUGUUGAAACUUACUGUAGUGUUUGAAUGUAAUGAUCAGUUUUCAGCCUGAUCAGAUAUUAA